CCUUUGGCAGCGUUGGGAAGGACAGGAGGUCAGAGAGGGGGGAAACACGGGGACAGAGGGGAGAGAAGCUGCCCUUGGCAGCGUGAGCGGGAAAGAAGCGGGGAGACUGGCGCGGCAAUUGGAGAGCCUGACAGAAGCAGAGUGCAGAAAAGGAGGGCAGGUCAACAGGCGGAAAAAGAUAGAAGCUGCCUUAGGCAGCGUGCUGGCAGAGGACAUACCGCGCAGAGAGAAAGAAGCCCGGCAGAUCUUCUUUUCUCGGUUAAAUCUUUCCAAACUUAUGUUUUACUUUUGGUUUAAUUUGAUAAUAAUGUGUAACUAAAUUUUUUUGGCUAGAGGUUAAUUCGAAACCAUGAAUAUAUUGUAAUAUGAAUUGAUUACCUUCAGUUGUGAUUUCUGAGUUAUGAUUUAAUUUGCUUAACUGCUUGAUUGAUAACU
Molecule: long non-coding RNA, 435 nt
Filed under: Malus domestica (apple)
Lineage: Eukaryota; Viridiplantae; Streptophyta; Magnoliopsida; Rosales; Rosaceae
Description: long non-coding RNA (MDOM_LNC011224)
Source: RNAcentral